AUCUCCCAGGUAGAUGUUUGUGUUUGUGCUAAUUCUUUGUCCUGUGCUAGGCUCCACCUUCUCCAGGAUGUGGGUGUGGUUUCCAGAGUCCAGUGCAAUCAGCAAUCACCUGUGUCCUAUUUAAAGGCUGUGAUCCUGCACCUCAGUGCCUCUUGGCCACUUGCCUGCCGUACCACCUCUUGCAGAUGCUUGCCAGUGCAAAGGCCUGCCUUUGUCAUGUUUUUUAAUGUACACUUGGUCAGACUGGGUUGGUAGGGGAGAGCUGCCUUUUGGUUUAACCCCAGUUUUCUCUUGUUUAAGUGAUUGUUAGGUUUAGGUUAGUUUGUAGGUUUGUACUAUUUUACUUUCAUUGUUGUUAGGUAAGUUCUUCUUUUUAUUUUCUGAUUAGGGUUGUUUUGUUUGUUAUGUUGGCCUGGGCUCUCUCUGAAGUUUUAACCGUCUGAAUUGUAAAUAAUGUAAAAUUAGAAGUAAAUAAAUGUUUAAAAGAUAA
Molecule: long non-coding RNA, 490 nt
Organism: Fundulus heteroclitus (mummichog)
Lineage: Eukaryota; Metazoa; Chordata; Actinopteri; Cyprinodontiformes; Fundulidae
Exons: 2
Source: RefSeq, a predicted model, not a curated record